This 71-nucleotide transfer RNA is filed under the name Marmota monax (woodchuck). Its description in RNAcentral is "tRNA.Undet". Lineage: Eukaryota; Metazoa; Chordata; Mammalia; Rodentia; Sciuridae. The record is from RNAcentral.
GGCUGUGGCUCAGCGGUAGAGCGAGCGCUUGCCCCGCACGCGUAAGGCACUGGGUUCGAUCCUCGGCACCA